Cucurbita maxima (winter squash) is the source of this 523-nucleotide long non-coding RNA. RefSeq lists it as uncharacterized. The transcript has 2 exons. Lineage: Eukaryota; Viridiplantae; Streptophyta; Magnoliopsida; Cucurbitales; Cucurbitaceae. The record is from RefSeq and is a predicted model, not a curated record.
UACAUUAACUAGCGUUCUUUUGUUUUCUAUUUAAUCAUGAAGAAACUGGUUAGAUGUUUAGUGCUGAAAGAUGCCCAUAUUGAUUGCCCAUUGGCUCGGCAUUCCCCAUGACUAAGAAGGCCACAACCUUCAGUGCCAAGUACAUUAAUUUAUGCUACUGAUUGGAUGUUCUUUAGAUAUUUUAGUAGAAGAAGAACCUAGAAUAUGAAGACUACACAGAAAAGGUACACAUCUCCUUUCAUUUUUCACUUAAAAUAACUUUUAUGGUAUAGCUUGUGGAAUUUGAAUUGAUUACCUGAUUACCUACUUUUAUGGCAUACCUAUAAUAUGAAGACUACACAGCAAAGGUACACAUCUCAAGCUAUACAUUUUUUGCCAUGUUGGAGUCUGUUUAUCCUAUGGUCAUAUGAACUUGGAAUUCUAGAACUCACUUUUCAAGAUACACACUUUUACGAGUCAUUUUAUAAGUCUCAAACCCACAAAUCAAAUACAAAAUAAAUUUAAGUUCUCUAACCUUUUAUUU